RNAcentral lists this ribosomal RNA (566 nucleotides) under uncultured Glomeromycotina. Its description in RNAcentral is "SSU rRNA". It matches the Rfam family "Eukaryotic small subunit ribosomal RNA", at positions 548 to 1114 of the family's 1831-position model. The record is from RNAcentral. Lineage: Eukaryota; Fungi; Glomeromycota.
UUGGAGGGCAAGUCUGGUGCCAGCAGCCGCGGUAAUUCCAGCUCCAAUAGCGUAUAUUAAAGUUGUUGCAGUUAAAAAGCUCGUAGUUGAAUUUCGGGAUCAAUGUUUCGGUCAUGCCGUUGGUAUGUACUGAUAUUAUUGAUUUCUCACCUUCUAAAGAACCGUAAUGCCAUUAAUUUGGUGUUACGGGGAAUUAGGACUGUUACCUUGAAAAAAUUAGAGUGUUUAAAGCAGGCUCACGCUUGAAUACAUUAGCAUGGAAUAAUGAAAUAGGACAUCCGAUUCUAUUUUGUUGGUUUCUAGGAUCGAUGUAAUGAUCAAUAGGGAUAGUUGGGGGCAUUAGUAUUCAAUUGUCAGAGGUGAAAUUCUUGGAUUUAUUGAAGACUAACUACUGCGAAAGCAUUUGCCAAGGAUGUUUUCAUUAAUCAAGAACGAAAGUUAGGGGAUCGAAGACGAUCAGAUACCGACGUAGUCUUAACCAUAAACUAUGCCGACUAGGGAUCGGAUGAUGUUAAUUUUUUAAUGACUCAUUCGGCGCCUUACGGGAAACCAAAGUGUUUGGGUUC